GAUGAACGCUGGCGGCGUGCCUAAUACAUGCAAGUCGAGCGAACGGACGAGAAGCUUGCUUCUCUGAUGUUAGCGGCGGACGGGUGAGUAACACGUGGAUAACCUACCUAUAAGACUGGGAUAACUUCGGGAAACCGGAGCUAAUACCGGAUAAUAUUUUGAACCGCAUGGUUCAAAAGUGAAAGACGGUCUUGCUGUCACUUAUAGAUGGAUCCGCGCUGCAUUAGCUAGUUGGUAAGGUAACGGCUUACCAAGGCAACGAUGCAUAGCCGACCUGAGAGAGUGGUCGGCCACACGGGAACUGAGACACGGUCCAGACUCCUACGGGAGGCAGCAGUAGGGAAUCGUCCGCAAUGGGCGAAAGCCUGACGGAGCAACGCCGCGUGAGUGAUGAAGGUCUUCGGAUCGUAAAACUCUGUUAUUAGGGAAGAACAUAUGUGUAAGUAACUGUGCACAUCUUGACGGUACCUAAUCAGAAAGCCACGGCUAACUACGUG
RNAcentral lists this ribosomal RNA (497 nucleotides) under uncultured bacterium. RNAcentral describes it as "partial 16S ribosomal RNA". It matches the Rfam family "Bacterial small subunit ribosomal RNA", at positions 28 to 507 of the family's 1533-position model. The record is from RNAcentral.